AUUGAACGCUGGCGGCAGGCCUAACACAUGCAAGUCGAGCGGAUGAAGGGUGCUUGUUCCUGGAUUCCGCGGCGGACGGGUGUGUAAUGCCUAGGAAUCUGCCUGGUAGUGGGGGAUAAUGUCCGGAAACGGGCGCUACUACCGCAUACGUCCUGAGGGAGAAAGUGGGGGAUCUUUGGAACUCACGCUCUCUGAUGAGCCUAGGCCGGAUUUGCUAGUUGGUGGGGUAAAGGCCUACCAAGGAGACGUUCCGUAACUGGUCUGAGUGGAUGAUCAGUCACACUGAAGCUGAGACACGACCCAGAGUCCGACGGAAGGCAGCGGUGGGGACUAUUGGACGAAGGGCGAAAUCUUGAUCCAGCCAUGCCAGGUGGGUGAAGAAGGGCUUCGGAUGGUAAAGCGCUUUAAGGGGGGAGAAAGGGCAUUAAGUUAACACCUUGCUGUUUGAACGUAACCAACAGAAUAAGCACGGGCAAACAUCGU
RNAcentral lists this ribosomal RNA (483 nucleotides) under uncultured bacterium. Its description in RNAcentral is "partial 16S ribosomal RNA". It matches the Rfam family "Bacterial small subunit ribosomal RNA", at positions 30 to 506 of the family's 1533-position model. The record is from RNAcentral.